This is a long non-coding RNA of Cylas formicarius (sweet potato weevil), 1849 nucleotides long. RefSeq lists it as uncharacterized. Lineage: Eukaryota; Metazoa; Arthropoda; Insecta; Coleoptera; Brentidae. The transcript is spliced from 3 exons. The record is from RefSeq and is a predicted model, not a curated record.
CACCUCUUCUAUGAAAUCAAUAUACGUAGUCCCCCUUCUAGUCGCUAGGUGGCACCACAGCUUUAAAGCAGAGCCAAAAAACUGUGGAAUAACUUACCAUGGACGGUAUAUUCGCCAUCUAUGGUCUUAACCUCAUUCCUCUUUUUGUGCUUUGGUGGCACAUGUUCAUUUUUAUUCGGCGUCGGUGUUUUCAGCUUUUUUCAGCGUUUUUGGAAGUUAAAUGGAGAAGUACAAGUGAGAUUUACGUUAUUCCUUAUCGGAUGAAGAAAGAACCUACCUACGACGAAAGAUUAAAUCUUUCCAUCCGCGAUUACAUAAUCGCUAGUGGCGUGGUUCCCAUCAACGAGAUUUUCUUACAAUUGGGAGAAGAUUUCUUCAUCGUCCGGGUUCCGAUCGGAAUCCCCAGAACUCGAAAGACCCCCCAUCUUUCCCACUUAUACGACAGCAGUCGUAUGUAAGUGUUUCACAAUUGGAAGCAAUCCUUUUGUGAGGGGGUCGGCCAUACAUAUGGUUUUAUAUUUUUUCGACAUCGAAAAAAUAGAGUUUUCUGGCUCGUCCGGCUAUGGAUGAGGCGCCCGGGAUACUGGGACAUAAUGAACAAUUUUUUAUGGCUGUUGGAAUGCAUUUACUCCAUCGUAAGUAUAUUUUUUAGGCCAUUCAAUUAAUUCUGAUAUUGUUGAGCCCCUUGAGACGGAUUUAAAGCAAAAUAGCCUUUAAGCUAUGGGGUCGAUAGUCCCAACACAAAGUUGGAUGUGUCAUGACAUUUUGGCAAGUCAGAUUAAUACCUUUUUUGAAAUCCGGUGUGUCCGAAGAUUGUCUCAGUGACCUUUUGCGUUGAUAUCCUGUGCCGAAGAAUUGCCCGCUCAAUAACUCUCCUAAAUUGAAUGUGCAGAUGAAAUCUGCCAUCAACAAAGGUGGAAAGAAAAGGGAUGAGAGACUGACUGCAACAAGGGGUGCUUUGAUGGUGUUUGGUAGGGCGCUCUUGACCUUGCUUUUGAAACCGGUUAAGGAUGAGUAGUACUUACUUCUCAUCAAAAUGCUGAGUAAUGCAAUAUUGGUUUUAAGCAAAAUACACCAUUUAGGUUCAGUAUAUGGAAGUUCAGCCGCGUUAAGCCUUUCGCUGGUCUCAAAUGAAAUGCAGCCUUGUAUGAAGGAAGUGCUCGUUGAUGCUUGUUUGCACUCUUGUUUAUGUGGAGAAGAUUUGGCUGAUAGGCUCAAAUCAAUCAGAUUAGCUGCAGAUUAGUGGCCGAGUUAAAGUCAGGUGCAUCCGGAACAAGGCUUUUAUAGCAUACAAAUUUAAACUCGACCGUCCCACUUCGUUCCCGGAAGUUGCAAGGCUGAAGUGGGUGAAAGUCAUUGUACCCUCAAAAGAGGGAAUACAGGAAGGUUCGAGAGGAAAGGGGGUGGAGUUGUGUCCCCAGGAAAAAAUAAUCCGGAGGCAUCUAAUGAAGACGCGUUUACUGUUUUUUGGAGCGACAGUUUCUUCUAUGUUUUCCCCCCGUUUUGCUUGUUGCCACUUGUUUUACGAAAAAUCAAGGCUGAUUGAGCUACAGGGAUCGCAGUAAUCCCUUACGGGCACAGCCAGCAUUGACAAAUUACCUUCUUCUUUUGCCAGGAGAGGUCACCCUUUGUGGAAAUCCCUUACCCUGGCUGCAGGGAUUUUGUCAGGCAAGCAUUCCAGAAGAUUUGCUGGAUAUUUUUCUAUCAUCUGUUCAGAGGGCUACCUUGAGGCAUUUAAUACCUGCAUGCAUUUAAACUUUGGUGGAGCUUCUACGAAAGGAGGGGAGUGGAGUGUUAUUACUUCUCACCUAGGCUGUAUUAGAUUUCCUUACUAUUCAUUUUAGACAAG